Zea mays is the source of this 1376-nucleotide long non-coding RNA. RefSeq lists it as uncharacterized. The transcript is spliced from 2 exons. The record is from RefSeq and is a predicted model, not a curated record. Lineage: Eukaryota; Viridiplantae; Streptophyta; Magnoliopsida; Poales; Poaceae.
CCUUUCAUGGUAGUUGAGCUGAUUUUUUUGGGGUGGGCUGAGUUACUCAUUUUUUUUAAUUGGUCAUCAAUGUGCUUUACUACUUUUGCAUUAUGAUUAUACUACGUGAAUUAUCUGUCUUUUAUAUUCUGUAUGAACUCUAUGUUCCCCCUUUGUUAUUCUUCUUUCAAGGGAGGUGCUGCCGGAUUUUGCAAUAUUUUCUGUCUUUAUUUCAUUUCUUGUGUUGCAUAAGUUUAGUGGGAGGGGUAUUUGGUAACAUCCAUUGUGUGGGAUUAGUGGGGGUGUUACAGGUAACUCAAGGGUUAUUGCACCUUUUAUUUUUCACCAGGGACAGGGCUGUAUUUUUCAUGAAAUAUAUUGUUAUAUUUAAGAGUAUAUUGUGCAAAAUGACUAAUUUAUAUUUAUUAUUAGUAUAUAUGGUAGAAUACUUCUAAAAAUAAAUUUUAUAAAUAUGUGUAUACUUUUUACUCUUUAGUUCGAUGUGACAUAUACUAAACGUUAGCCCAUAUAACCAAACAUAUUUUACUCUUUCCCCUCCUAUACAAAGAGGCAUCAACCCUCCUUUUGAGUAUACACUUUUACAAGUCACUUAUACAAAUAGUAUGAUUAGCAGUUAAGCUCGUACAAGCGACAAAAGUAGGAUCUGGAACAGUUUUGAGCCAGAUAAUUUCUCUCGUGGAAACCGCCCAGAUGUCUAAGGCUCCUAUUCAGAUGUUUGCUGAUUUUGUAAGUACACUUCUCAAUUCCUUAGCUUAUAAAAAUAAUCUCUUAACUCUAUAUUAUAAUCUUAAAUCUGCAAAGCAUUGAUUUGGGCAACUUAAAUCCGCUAUGUUUCUAUUAUUGUUAAAAUGUUCACUCUACCUUUUCUAUUUAGCAUUUCUUGUAGAGAAAAUUAAAUCCUUUAUUGCAAAUUCUAUACAUUUGUUUGCGUUCCUGAUUACCUGGCAUGACCUGGUUGAUUUUUUCUUCCUUUUUCAAAUUCUUAUAUAACACCUUUCUUACAGCCAUAGUAUCUUUUUGUUAAAAAAUCUUGGAUAUACCAGAGUACACAUGACAUAAUUGCAUACACCUUUUUCUCUAUUAUGAAUACCUAUAAUUGCAUGCACCUUCUUACUGGUGUUACAACAUUUCAGGUAGCCAGCAUUUUUGUUCCUAUUGUCAUCACACUGUCCUUCUUGACAUUCCUUGCAUGGUUUCUAGGAGCAUAUCCAAACUCAUGGUCUGCUGAAAGUAGCAAUUGUUUUGUUUUCUCCCUCAUGUUCUCCAUAUCUUAUAUGUCUUAUUAUGAUUAUGGAUAAUACUUUUGUGAUGUAAUUGAUGAGACUAUGGAUUUAAAUAUUGUUAUGUGAUUAUGUGUGAGAUGUUUUAUGUGAAAA